GUUUUAAUAGUUUAAGAAAAAAUAUCGGUCUUGUAAACCGAUGUUGAGAACAUUCUCUUAAAACU
Molecule: transfer RNA, 65 nt
Filed under: Potamanthus sp. MT-2014
Lineage: Eukaryota; Metazoa; Arthropoda; Insecta; Ephemeroptera; Potamanthidae
Also listed under: 1 other name
Description: tRNA-Thr
Rfam family: tRNA
About the family: Transfer RNA (tRNA) molecules are approximately 80 nucleotides in length. Their secondary structure includes four short double-helical elements and three loops (D, anti-codon, and T loops).
Source: RNAcentral